GCUUACGGCCAUACCACCCUGAGCACGCCUGACCUUGUCUGAUCUCGGAAGCUAAGCCGGGCUGGGCUUGGUUAGUAAUAGGAUCGGAGACUGCCUGGGAGUACCUGGUGCUGUAUGCC
Ribosomal RNA from Maylandia zebra (zebra mbuna), 119 nucleotides. The record is from Ensembl. NCBI's taxonomy places the organism in Eukaryota, Metazoa, Chordata, Actinopteri, Cichliformes, Cichlidae.